RNAcentral lists this long non-coding RNA (342 nucleotides) under Physcomitrium patens. Its description in RNAcentral is "long non-coding RNA (PPAT_LNC009455)". The record is from RNAcentral. Lineage: Eukaryota; Viridiplantae; Streptophyta; Bryopsida; Funariales; Funariaceae.
UAAGAAAUACUACAAUGCUUCCUCCCAAUAACAAUACUCCUUUAUCAAUUGAUAACCACAAGGUGCAACCCUACACUCUCAAAAGUCUGCUCAAAACUCAAUAAAUUCCAUCCAACACGAGGAAUAACAGACUUCACUCCAACCAAUCUGAAUUCACAGAAUUCUUGUAAUCACAAACUUCCUCUGUCAAAACACACACACAACUUUCAAUAAACAAUAAUCAUAAUCUUCCAUCCAUAAUCAAUCUUUCAAUAACUUUUCAUAUAAUUCAAUCACUCAGUACUCCAAUUACAUCAUCAAUAACUCAUAAAUCAAUCUCUGAUUUAUUCCACACACUCAUUU